GACGAACGCUGGCGGCGUGCUUAACACAUGCAAGUCGAACGGAAAGGCCCUGCUUUUGUGGGGUGCUCGAGUGGCGAACGGGUGAGUAACACGCGAGUAACCUGCCCUUGACUUUGGGAUAACUUCAGGAAACUGGGGCUAAUACCGGAUAGGAGCUCCUGCUGCAUGGUGGGGGUUGGAAAGUUUCGGCGGUUGGGGAUGGAUUCGCGGCUUAUCAGCUUGUUGGUGGGGUAGUGGCUUACCAAGCCUUUGACGGGUAGCCGGCCUGAGAGGGUGACCGGCCACAUUGGGACUGAGAUACGGCCCAGACUCCUACGGGAGGCAGCAGUGGGGAAUAUUACACAAUGGGCGGAAGCCUGAUGCAGCAACGCCGCGUGCGGGAUGACGGCCUUCGGGUUGUAAACCGCUUUCGCCUGUGACGAAGCGUGAGUGACGGUAAUGGGUAAAGAAGCACCGGCUAACUACGUG
RNAcentral lists this ribosomal RNA (468 nucleotides) under uncultured bacterium. RNAcentral describes it as "partial 16S ribosomal RNA". It matches the Rfam family "Bacterial small subunit ribosomal RNA", at positions 28 to 507 of the family's 1533-position model. The record is from RNAcentral.